CUUGGACACCAUUCUGCUGGACCUGUGAGCCUAAACAUACAGCAAUGAGCACUCUGGCUUCUUCACUUGCUCUAAUGGGUGGCGUCUCCACUAUGGAGGACUGUUCCUAUCAUCGUCUUCAGGAACACUUGGGUCUGUCACAGAAAAAUGAAAGUACAACAGGUCUGCGGCCUGUGGUGCACUGAACCAAUGAAUGAGAAGUCCUCAACUUUCACCAGCUAUGUCUUAAUCUCAACAGCCUGGGUGAAUUACUUCAUAGCUUGGGAACCAACGGAAUUUUGUGGAAUUUCAAAAAUGACUGUUCCAAGAGAACGGGUCUGGAUACCAGAUAUAGGUAUCCAAGAAGACCUACAGGGAGGUGAGAGCCCUGGUGGAACAGUGCAAGGAAAAUUUACCUCUCCCUCAACAAAACGAAGGAGCUGAUCUUGGAGAUGGCCGAGAGAGAUCGACCCCAUCCACAUGGACGGGGCCGCAGUAGAGCAGAUCAAAAGCUUCAAGUUCUUCAGCGUGGAUAUCACUGAGGACCUGAAAUGGUCCCUCCACACCGACACUGUGGUGAAGAAGGCACAACAGUGCCUCUUCAACCUCAUGAGGCUGGAGAAAUUCGGCUUAUCCCCUAAGACCCUUAAGAACUUCUACAGAUGCACCAUUGAGAGCAUUCUGUCGGGCUGUAUCACUGCCUGGUAUGGCAACUGCACCACCCACAACCGCAGGGCUCUCCAGAGGGUGGUGCGGUCAGCCCAACACUUCACUGAGGGCACACUGCCUCCAGGACAUCUACAACACCUGGUGUCAUAGGAAGGUCAAGAGGAUAAUCAAGGACCUAAGCCACCCAAGCCACGACCUAUUCAUCCGCUACCAUCUAGCAGGCGGAGACAGUACAGGUGCAUCAAAGCUGGGACGGAGAGACUAAAAAACAGCUUCUUUCUCCAGGCCAUCAGACUGCUAAACAGUUAUCACUAGACGGCCUCCGCCCAGUACCUUGCCCUGCACCUAGCCGGCUACCACAGGGAACUCUACCCUGCACCUUAGAGACUGCUUCCCUAAGUACAUAGUCAUUGAACACUGGUCACUUAAAUUAUGUUUCAUAAUGUGUAUUGGUCAAAAAUGGUUUGUGAUUAGAAACAGAUAAGAUUAACAUUCCUGCAACAUUAUUUUGUUAACUUAAUUUCUCAGAUAAAAUUAACUCGCUUUAUAAGUACUGUAUUAUCAACAUAGCUCAUCCAUUUAACUACUGCUGUACAUACAUUUUUCCUACAUAUAUUGUUCAUACUGUCUACACACCAGGUCUUUAUAUUCCGGACUCUGACAUUGCCCUUUUUGAUAUUACUCGAUCUGAUAUCUUAAUUUCUUGUUUCUUUUUGUGUAUUAGUUUUGUCCCGCUAGAUAUUUACUGCAUUGCUGGAGCUAGAAACACAAGCAUUUUGCUGCACCUACUUUAACGUCCUGUUAUGGAGACGCAGGUACAGUUGGUGAGUUUUAUAUAAACGAACAUGGCGCGAUACAAAACAAGCGAAGCGUCUGACAUGAAAACAGAAACAAUACUGCCUGGUGAGAAAAACUACAGGGGAUCAAUAAUCAGGGUAGUGAGAAAGUCCAGGUGUGCCUAAUGAUGGGGCACAGGUGUGCGUAAUAAUUGUUGUCAGGUGUGCAUAAUAAUGGGUUGCCAGGACCGAUGGUUAGUAAACUGGCAACGUCGAGUGCCGGAGCGGGAGUAGACGUUACACUACCGCUAAUCUGUGUACGGGACAAAUACACUUUGAUUGGAUUAUUUGUAGUUGAUUGUCAACCAUAGAAACCAUGAUGAUAUACUGAUAAAAAGUUAUCAUCUUUCAGCUUGCCUUUGUAGGGAACAAACAAUGGGCAUUGGAGCUGAAUAUGAGAACCCUAUGUCUCUGUGUGUUUAAUGCGCUGUUUCAGGGGAAAAAUACAAAGCUGCUUUUAUGAAAAGUCUGUUUGAUGUCCUUUGAAACCGGAUCUCAGUCUGGGAUAAGAUGAACAACAUUUUUUGCCUUCGCACUGUCCCACUGAACUAUACUUCUGAACUUUACUUCCUUUACUAACUGCCCCAUUAGAUGUUUUAUAAAUGUUGUAACUUUGUAAAUCUUUUAAUUUUGGGUCCUUCAUAGUAGCUGAAGAGGUCCAUCAGCCACUCCUUGGGCUACAAUACCUAUUUUGCCAAUUGGCCUGGACCCCUUUUACUGCGGAUACGGAGUCCCGCCGAUCCUUCACGACUGGUCUACCGACGUGAUCCGCCCGAGGGGGUUUUCAACAAGCUCCUCCGUCGCGACUUCCUCUGAAUGCCCGUCUGCUAGCCGUCUAGAGCAUAUCAGACUGUUAGUUGAAGAGGUCCAUCAGCCAAUUUUCUUGGGUUACAAUACCUAUUUUGCCAAUUGGCCUGAACCCUUUUACUACACGGAGCCCUGCCGAUCCAUCACGACUGGUCUGCCGACGUAACCGCCCGAGGGGGCUACAACUGACUCUUCCGUCACAACGUCCCCCUAAGGCCCUUCUGCUAGCCCCGGCUAGAUGUCUGAAUCGCAGUGUCUCCAGCCCGCCUAGCUCCAUGAUCACUCGGCUACGCAUGCCUCUCCCUAAUGUCAAUAUGCCUUGUCCAUUGCUGUUUUGGUUAGUGAUUAUUAU
Salvelinus namaycush (lake trout) is the source of this 2643-nucleotide long non-coding RNA. RefSeq lists it as uncharacterized. The transcript is spliced from 5 exons. The record is from RefSeq and is a predicted model, not a curated record. Lineage: Eukaryota; Metazoa; Chordata; Actinopteri; Salmoniformes; Salmonidae.